Molecule: long non-coding RNA, 1466 nt
Organism: Magnolia sinica
Lineage: Eukaryota; Viridiplantae; Streptophyta; Magnoliopsida; Magnoliales; Magnoliaceae
Exons: 10
Source: RefSeq, a predicted model, not a curated record
UGUACAGCCACGCCUAAAAACUAUAUUGCAUUUUUUGUGACCUACCUAAAUUUAAUUAUUUUAGGUUUUUCUCUUCAUCGGGAUGGGGCGCACCUGAUUUUUGGAUUAGAUGACAUAUAAACAACAAUUUGGCCCCCACGUCUGGAAAUUUCCUUGUUGGUCGGCCCUUCCUUAAAUUUCAUUCCCGGCUAGGCCGUUUGCUGUCUCCUCCUUUCGCUCACUUCAAUCCUCUCUCUCUAUACAGAUCCCAUCCCAAGAACAGAAGAUCGACGGAACCGAUUUCUUGAGCAAACAGAAGCAAAAUCAUUCGCGUUUUUGGGAAUUGCAGAAAAGUCGAACCGAGAACUGAGUCAUUUGGAUGGAGGAAUCGUUUGGAAGGAUUCAAGAGAAGAAAACGUUACGGUCAGGCAAUCAAGGUAAACUGGGCAUAUGCCAGUGGCCAGAGGGAGGUUACUUCAGGCCACUUCAACAUCUUUGUUGGCGACCUAAGUCCUGAAGUCACUGAUGCGACUCUGUUUGCAUGCUUUGCAGUGUAUUCCAGCUGUUCAGAUGCACGGGUUAUGUGGGAUCAUAAAACUUGGCGCUCAAGAGGAUUUGGCUUUGUUUCUUUCCGUAAUCAGCAGAUGGAGGUCAAGAGAAUGUAAGUGACGAGGCCCCUGAAAACAACCCUGCAUUUACAACCGUCUCAUGUUGUUAAUCUUGCAUACAAGGUAAAAUAGAAGAACUGAGACAUUGUGUUGGCUGCAUGGUUUGUACAAUUGAGAGAAAAAAAAAUGUCCCUUAAAUUGACGGCCAUGCUUUGCAGCAUGUUUAUUUUUAUCAUCUGUGCUGACAUUUCCUGUUUUUCCUGUUUCAAUGGCCAAUUCGUCAGGCGAUUCAAACUGAACUCCAUCGCCAGUUUCAUUCUCUUGGGGCUGGUGUCAUUGAAGAAGUGCGUGUAUAGAGAGAUUAAGGUUUUGGAUUUGUAAGGAUUUCUUGGCUGGAAGUUCUUCUCGAUGCCUUUGCAAGGGAAGAUGAGGCUUGCACGUAGUAAGGAACACAGGCUAUACAGCCUUGUAUUCUGAGACCCUUGAUCCUUCAAUACAAUCUAAAGGGGAUUUGAAAGAGAGUUUCUACAUUGGUCCCAUGGAAGGUGGUAACUUGAAUCAGUGGCCUUCUGCAGGCGGAAAGGAAAUGAAACGCUUUUCAAAGGUUGAUACAUACAUCAGUGCUUAAGCAACACUACGAGAAGAAAUUACUUGAGUUGGAGCAGGAAAAGAAAGUUUUGCUGGUUGCUUGCUAUCUAGUUACAAGGAUCCUGUAGCUAAGCAACAAACAUCCAAAAUGUGGGCCAUUAUAUCAAUGCAUGGAUUUGUAGGCCCCAGUUUUACAAAUGGAAAAUCUAUAUGGUACUGUACACAAUUUCCGACCUAUAAUUCUAUUCUUCCUCAAUAUAUUUUCUCGAGGAACCAUACAUAUCAUCAUUA